UUGGAGGGCAAGUCUGGUGCCAGCAGCCGCGGUAAUUCCAGCUCCAAUAGCGUAUAUUAAAGUUGUUGCAGUUAAAAAGCUCGUAGUUGAACUUCGGGGUUCACCCAUUGGUCAGGCUUAAUUGUCUGUACUGGUGAGAUGAAUCUCUACCUUCUGAGGAACUUUCAUGCCAUUUAGUUGGUGUGAUAGGAAAUCAGGACUGUUACUUUGAAAAAAUUAGAGUGUUUAAAGCAGGCUAACGUCUGAAUACAUUAGCAUGGAAUAAUGAAAUAGGACGGAUUGGUUCUAUUUCGUUGGUUUCUAGGAUCACCGUAAUGAUUAAUAGGGAUAGUUGGGGGCAUUAGUAUUCAAUUGUCAGAGGUGAAAUUCUUGGAUUUAUUGAAGACUAACUAUUGCGAAAGCAUUUGCCAAGGAUGUUUUCAUUAAUCAAGAACGAAAGUUAGGGGAUCGAAGACGAUCAGAUACCGUCGUAGUCUUAACCAUAAACUAUGCCGACUAGGGAUCGGACGAAGUUAAUUUUAUAAUGACGCGUUCGGCGCCUUACGGGAAAC
RNAcentral lists this ribosomal RNA (551 nucleotides) under uncultured Glomeromycotina. RNAcentral describes it as "SSU rRNA". It matches the Rfam family "Eukaryotic small subunit ribosomal RNA", at positions 548 to 1098 of the family's 1831-position model. Lineage: Eukaryota; Fungi; Glomeromycota. The record is from RNAcentral.